UACGUAGGGUGCAAGCGUUAAUCGGAAUUACUGGGCGUAAAGCGUGCGCAGGCGGCUUUGCAAGACAGAUGUGAAAUCCCCGGGCUCAACCUGGGAACUGCAUUUGUGACUGCAUGGCUGGAGUGCGGCAGAGGGGGAUGGAAUUCCGCGUGUAGCAGUGAAAUGCGUAGAUAUGCGGAGGAACACCGAUGGCGAAGGCAAUCCCCUGGGCCUGCACUGACGCUCAUGCACGAAAGCGUGGGGAGCAAACAGGAUUAGAAACCCUCGUAGUCC
RNAcentral lists this ribosomal RNA (273 nucleotides) under uncultured prokaryote. Its description in RNAcentral is "partial 16S ribosomal RNA". It matches the Rfam family "Bacterial small subunit ribosomal RNA", at positions 524 to 796 of the family's 1533-position model. The record is from RNAcentral.